RNAcentral lists this transfer RNA (79 nucleotides) under Podarcis lilfordi (Lilford's wall lizard). RNAcentral's name for it is "tRNA.Ile". The record is from RNAcentral. Lineage: Eukaryota; Metazoa; Chordata; Lepidosauria; Squamata; Lacertidae.
GCCCUAAUGGGAUAGCUCAGUUGGUUAGAGCAUGGUGCAGAUAACGCCAAUGUUGCAGGUUUGAUCCCCAUAUGGGACA